AGUGAACGCUGGCGGUAGGCCUAACACAUGCAAGUCGAACGGCAGCACAGUAAGAGCUUGCUCUUACGGGUGGCGAGUGGCGGACGGGUGAGGAAUACAUCGGAAUCUACUUUUUCGUGGGGGAUAACGUAGGGAAACUUACGCUAAUACCGCAUACGACCUACGGGUGAAAGCAGGGGAUCUUCGGACCUUGCGCGAUUGAAUGAGCCGAUGUCGGAUUAGCUAGUUGGCGGGGUAAAGGCCCACCAAGGCGACGAUCCGUAGCUGGUCUGAGAGGAUGAUCAGCCACACUGGAACUGAGACACGGUCCAGACUCCUACGGGAGGCAGCAGUGGGGAAUAUUGGACAAUGGGCGCAAGCCUGAUCCAGCCAUACCGCGUGGGUGAAGAAGGCCUUCGGGUUGUAAAGCCCUUUUGUUGGGAAAGAAAAGCAGCAGGUUAAUACCCCGCUGUUCUGACGGUACCCAAAGAAUAAGCACCUUUUAACUUCGUG
RNAcentral lists this ribosomal RNA (492 nucleotides) under uncultured bacterium. RNAcentral's name for it is "partial 16S ribosomal RNA". It matches the Rfam family "Bacterial small subunit ribosomal RNA", at positions 29 to 507 of the family's 1533-position model. The record is from RNAcentral.